GCGAACUGCGAACCGCGAACUGCGAACUGGUAAAAUGCGAACUUUUUUGCGAACCAUGGUUCUAUUGGUUGUUAAUGAUGUAAUACUUUAUUUUCCGUUUGCCGUUAAAUUGUUUAUUUUCCAAAAUAUUUUAAGGACUACACGCAAAAGCAUUUAUUUAAAAAAACAAAUUGAGUAAAACUAGUAUGAAAAAAGAAAACUGCGAAAAAAACAGAUACUUAAGAUGAAAAAGUGAAUAGUAAAAAAAAUCUGUAAAAAAUGUAUAAUGAAGAAAUAGUUCUUUGUUUAUACUUCUUCUACAGAUUCAUAUAUUAUAACGAAGAUUCAUAAAAAAGGGAUAUGAUAUUAAAAAAAACAACAUUCAAGGCAUUAACUUUAGCUAUCAAAUCUUUUAUUUCGUCUGGAUUAGCAUCUCCUGCUGGAAUAACUUCAAUAUCAAGUGUUCUUGGUCUUUUUCUUCCUCCUGUUUUGUCAGAUUUUUUUCUUGUAUUUCGACGAAGUUGUGUUA
This is a non-coding RNA of Hydra vulgaris (swiftwater hydra), 508 nucleotides long. Lineage: Eukaryota; Metazoa; Cnidaria; Hydrozoa; Anthoathecata; Hydridae. The record is from RefSeq and is a predicted model, not a curated record.